GAUGAAGAACGUAGCGAAAUGCGAUACGUAAUGUGAAUUGCAGAAUUCAGUGAAUCAUCGAAUCUUUGAACGCAUAUUGCGCUCUCUGGUAUUCCGGAGAGCAUGCUUGUUUGAGUAUCAGUAAACACCUCAACUUCCAUAUCUUUUUUGAAAUGGGAGUUGGACUUGAGUGAUCCCAACGCUUUUCCUUACCGAAAAGUGGCGGGUUACUUGAAAUGCAGGUGCAGCUGGACUUUUCUCUGAGCUAUAAGCAUAUCUAUUUAGUCUGCCUAAAAAACAGAUUAUUACCUUUGCUGCAGCUAACAUAAAGGAGAUUAGUUCUUGUGCUGACUGAUGCAGGAUUCACAAAGACAGCUUCGGCCGACUUUGUAAACUCGAUCUCAAAUCAAGUAAGACUACCCGCUGAACUUAAGCAUAUCAAUAAGCGGAGGA
Molecule: unclassified non-coding RNA, 432 nt
Filed under: soil metagenome
Description: partial contains 5.8S ribosomal RNA, internal transcribed spacer 2, and large subunit ribosomal RNA
Rfam family: 5.8S ribosomal RNA (bases 1-120)
Source: RNAcentral